UUGAAUAGUUGUACUCAGAAAAAAAACCCUUUUACUACAUUUUACUCCUUUCCUUUUUAUUUAGACUUUUAUUUAGAAUUUAAACUUUUAUUUAGACCUUUAAAGAAGACAUCCAGCCAAUACCUGUAUGCUACACACCAAUUAAAUGGGCUCAGGUUAGUAUCCGAUCAUUUUAGAUUAGCAUCCAAUAAGGUUCAUCAAUGUAGAAUAAACUAUCGAGAAUUGAUCUUCUCAUGCUACACAAUGUAGUUAACACUAAAGCUAUCUGUGUGUGUUUGAAAAUGGAAAAAAUGGAAAAAGCCAUCAGACUACAGGAUGAGCACCCCUGGCCCUACCUCAGUAAAAUAUUUCAACAUGCUGGAGUAAACAAAGGCUUGUAUAAAAUGAGGCGUCUCCUUUACCUCCCUGGAAGGCAUGAACUCCAUCUAAUUUGAAAAGCAUGUUGAAGUAAUUUGCUAUUUUGCUAACAUCAACUGGUUAUAUUUAGCCUGUUUUCUUUGCUAAUGCUAGGUUAGGCUAGCAUUGAUUUCAGUAGCUUAUGUAAUUGGCUAGGCAGCAAGUCACAUUCUAGCUAAUGGUUAUUGUUGUUGCUGUUGCUCUUCUUCUUUCGGCUGCACUCGUUAGUGGUCGGCACAGCGGAUCGUUGGUCUGAAUAUUUGAUUUGGCACAGAUGCCCUUCCUGACGCAACCCUCCCGGGCUUUAUCUGGGCUUGGGAGCGGCACUGGGAGUGCACUGUCUUGUGUAACUCCGGUGGCUGGGGUCGGUUCCCUGGCUGGGAUUUGAGCACCGAGGCUCCACUAGCCCUCCAGGGACCCCAAAUUCUAGCUAAUGCAGAAACAGCAUGAAAUAAAUACAGCUGUGUUAAGAACCAGUUAUGAACACUUCAGGAAGGAGACAGGGUCAUUCUCAAACAGAAGGCCUUCUUUUUCUCCGUGUAAUGAGGAAGUCUAAUGUCUACAGUCGGUCCAUGACGUCACCAUUUCCAGCAAUUACAGGCUAGUUCUCUUUUUCUAUCUUGAUGAUGCUCUUGUUGUUCUGUUGUUUAUACUGACUUGUGCUUUUAGUGUAUUGCUCUGUACUUAUUGUUAUUCUACUUCCUUAUGGCACUGGUUGCUUUUUUACAUACAUAGCUGUAUGCAAGGCAUCAUUUUGCAUGGCCUUCAAUAAUCCUGGAGGCAAGACAUUUCCCUGCCCCGUAUGCUUUAAUGCUAUUCCCUGGACAUUCAUAGCACAAUAAUAAAAGUUGACUUGACCGCAUUAAAAACCUGAGAGGAAA
Long non-coding RNA from Pangasianodon hypophthalmus (striped catfish), 1277 nucleotides. RefSeq lists it as uncharacterized. Lineage: Eukaryota; Metazoa; Chordata; Actinopteri; Siluriformes; Pangasiidae. The transcript is spliced from 3 exons. The record is from RefSeq and is a predicted model, not a curated record.